CUGAAAUACUGUGAAUAAUGUUAUAAAAAGUUCUUGAACUUUUGUAACAUUGCAUCUGACAAUAUUUUAUAGGAUCGAAGUCUAAGACUAGAAGUAAAGAGGAAAUUCCUUUCACUUUAGUUUGAAGAAACAGAUGAGACUCUGGACAAAGACUGCAAGCAAAGGAAGAACCAGUCACUUCACACAGAGCAUGGGAGUUUUGGCAUCACCAGUUCCAGUGAAGAAGCAAGUAACAGCAUGGGUAUUUUAGCUCACAUAUAAAAUGAAACAAACCAGAGCGAGAGAAAGAGAAUCCUGUUUCAGUACAGAUAACCUUGGUAAGUAAAAGUGUCAGAAUGUUAAUACUCACUUGUUCUUUGAUGCACAAGUGUUACCAAGUCCACUGAUCACUGCAUGACAGACCAAUAGAUGGAGAGUUGAGGUGUUGGGACAAGGAAUAAUGACUUUAUUCAGAAAGCCAGCAGACUAAGAGGAUGGAAGACUAGUGUCCCAAAGAACCAUCUUACCCAAGUUAGAAUUCAGGCUUCUUUUAUACUAAAAAGGGAGGGGGCGUGGCUAUUGUUGCAAAAUGUUUUGGUGCAGGACUCUUUUAUUCUUCUAGCUCUCUGCAUAGGUCUGGGC
This 621-nucleotide long non-coding RNA is filed under the name Sus scrofa (pig). Its description in RNAcentral is "lncRNA (ENSSSCG00060003392.1)". The record is from RNAcentral. Lineage: Eukaryota; Metazoa; Chordata; Mammalia; Artiodactyla; Suidae.